AUUGAACGCUGGCGGCAGGCCUAACACAUGCAAGUCGAACGAGUGGCGGACGGGUGAGUAAUGUCUGGGAAACUGCCCGAUGGAGGGGGAUACCUACUGGAAACGGUUGCUACUACCGCAUACCAUCGGAUGUGCCCAGAUGGGAUUAGCUAGUAGGUGGGGUAACGGCUCACCUAGGCGACGAUCCUUAGCUGGUCUGAGAGAAUGAUCAGCACCACUGGAAAUGAGACACGGUCCAGACUCCUACGGGAGGCAGCAGUGGGAAAAAUUGCACAAUGGGCGCAAGCCUGAUGCAGCCAUGCCGCGUGUAUGAAGAAGGCAUUCGGGUUGUAAAUUACUUUCAGCAUGGAGACGUUACUCGCAGAGUAAGAACCGGCUAACUCCGUGCCAGCAGCCGCGGUAAUUC
Molecule: ribosomal RNA, 406 nt
Filed under: uncultured bacterium
Lineage: Bacteria
Description: partial 16S ribosomal RNA
Rfam family: Bacterial small subunit ribosomal RNA
Source: RNAcentral